This 465-nucleotide ribosomal RNA is filed under the name uncultured bacterium. RNAcentral describes it as "partial 16S ribosomal RNA". It matches the Rfam family "Bacterial small subunit ribosomal RNA", at positions 28 to 507 of the family's 1533-position model. The record is from RNAcentral.
GGCGAACGCUGGCGGCGUGCUUAACACAUGCAAGUCGAACGGUAAGGCUCCAGCUUGCUGGGGUACACGAGUGGCGAACGGGUGAGUAACACGUGGGUGACCUGCCCUGCACUUCGGGAUAAGCCUGGGAAACUGGGUCUAAUACCGGAUAGGACCGCACCGUGAGGGUGUGGUGGAAAGUUUUUUCGGUGUGGGAUGGGCCCGCGGCCUAUCAGCUUGUUGGUGGGGUAAUGGCCUACCAAGGCGGCGACGGGUAGCCGGCCUGAGAGGGUGGACGGCCACAUUGGGACUGAGACACGGCCCAGACUCCUACGGGAGGCAGCAGUGGGGAAUAUUGCACAAUGGGCGGAAGCCUGAUGCAGCGACGCCGCGUGGGGGAUGACGGCCUUCGGGUUGUAAACUCCUUUCACCAUCGACGAAGGGUUUCUGACGGUAGAUGGAGAAGAAGCACCGGCUAACUACGUG